RNAcentral lists this ribosomal RNA (253 nucleotides) under uncultured bacterium. Its description in RNAcentral is "partial 16S ribosomal RNA". It matches the Rfam family "Bacterial small subunit ribosomal RNA", at positions 524 to 776 of the family's 1533-position model. The record is from RNAcentral.
UACGUAGGGACCAAGCGUUGUUCGGAUUUACUGGGCGUAAAGGGCGCGUAGGCGGCCCUACAAGUCACUUGUGAAAUCUCCGGGCUUAACUCGGAACGGCCAAGUGAAACUGUAAGGCUAGAGUGCAGAAGGGGCAAUCGGAAUUCUUGGUGUAGCGGUGAAAUGCGUAGAUAUCAAGAGGAACACCUGAGGUGAAGACGGGUUGCUGGGCUGACACUGACGCUGAGGCGCGAAAGCUAGGGGAGCGAACGGG